CUGACCCAGGACAACGAGCCAGAGUAUGAGCCAGGCGGACUCCCAGAGGUGGUCAGAAAAGGCUUUGCUGAUAUUCCUACUGGGAAAACCAACCCCUGUGUUUUGCGCAGAACAGCGCUAAACCUAAAGACCAGUGCCCGUCUUGCUGCUCAAAGCCAAAAUUUGUCACCAUAUGGCCAACGUUUACAAAAAGGCAGGUCAGCUAAUUUUGCCAAGAUCUCUAAACCGACAGCUGGUGGCAGCAAAUCACCAAAGGUAGAUGAUACUCAGCAGUGCCAAGCAGAAACAGCUAUUGAACCCAUGGAAUCUAGUUCAAG
This is a long non-coding RNA of Mauremys reevesii (Reeves's turtle), 317 nucleotides long. RefSeq lists it as uncharacterized. The transcript has 3 exons. The record is from RefSeq and is a predicted model, not a curated record. NCBI's taxonomy places the organism in Eukaryota, Metazoa, Chordata, Testudines, Geoemydidae.